Non-coding RNA from Anaeramoeba flamelloides, 74 nucleotides. NCBI's taxonomy places the organism in Eukaryota, Anaeramoebidae. The record is from the annotation of a GenBank genome assembly.
GAAUAGGUAGCCCUAAUGGUUAGAGCGCCGAACUCCAAAUUCGGAGGUUGGGGGUUCGAGUCCCUCUCUAUUCG